AAACAUGGUCCCGAGGUAGGAGCUGAAAUGUGGAAAUUGAAAGAAUUCGAAAAGUGAAAUCAAUAUUCAGCAUAAGUUAACAUUUAUGUUUUUGAAACUAAAAUUUGAAGGAACUUGGUAGUAUGUUAACUAAAUGUUUUCACACAUAUUGACCAGUUUAUUUGUCAUCAUUUGCCACGUAAUGACGACCAUUGUUGAAGCUGGCCACAGGAAUUCUAAGCUGUCAUUAAUCCUGCAGCUAAAAAUGGAAUCAAUAAUUGUAAUAUCACAGUAAUCUUACAAAAUUUCUUAUCUUGUCUUUCAGAUGCACGUUUUGUAAAUGGUGAAUCUCAAAUUAAUCAAAGAACUUGUCAUUUCACUUCAUUGACUUUCUCUUCCCAUUUUAAUAUUGAUGAUAAAUUGCAAGAACUUACCGGAGAUCUCUUCCUUUUUGUGGUUCCUUUCAAUUGAUUCAUUUGAGUUUAAUCUCUCGCCGCUGUUCCAGACCUUAUCCACUAGUGGAAUAUGCCGAGAGAUGUUGAACUUAUUCCAGGUUAACCCUUCGCCAUCGUGCUAUAGAAGUUGACGGUUAAAGAAGAGCUUGCUUUCGAUCAAUAACAAUAAAUUAGGUAGAUGUAGA
This is a long non-coding RNA of Daphnia pulex (common water flea), 619 nucleotides long. RefSeq lists it as uncharacterized. NCBI's taxonomy places the organism in Eukaryota, Metazoa, Arthropoda, Branchiopoda, Diplostraca, Daphniidae. The transcript is spliced from 4 exons. The record is from RefSeq and is a predicted model, not a curated record.